Molecule: non-coding RNA, 123 nt
Organism: Gossypium raimondii (Peruvian cotton)
Lineage: Eukaryota; Viridiplantae; Streptophyta; Magnoliopsida; Malvales; Malvaceae
Source: Rfam
UGUUAAAAAUUUCAUCCAUUUUUACUGCUAAAAAUUUGUGUGACUAACGAAAUAAUUAGAUAGUUUCACAUAAUUUGUCCAAUGAUCAGUUUUUAAUAGUAAAAAUAGAUAGAAUUUUUAAUA